UGGGGAAUAUUGCACAAUGGGCGCAAGCCUGAUGCAGCCAUGCCGCGUGUGUGAAGAAGGCCUUCGGGUUGUAAAGCACUUUCAGCGAGGAGGAAGGGUAGUGUGUUAAUAGCACAUUGCAUUGACGUUACUCGCAGAAGAAGCACCGGCUAACUCCGUGCCAGCAGCCGCGGUAAUACGGAGGGUGCAAGCGUUAAUCGGAAUUACUGGGCGUAAAGCGCACGCAGGCGGUUUGUUAAGUCAGAUGUGAAAUCCCCGCGCUUAACGUGGGAACUGCAUUUGAAACUGGCAAGCUAGAGUCGUGUAGAGGGGGGUAGAAUUCCAGGUGUAGCGGUGAAAUGCGUAGAGAUCUGGAGGAAUACCGGUGGCGAAGGCGGCCCCCUGGACAAAGACUGACGCUCAGGUGCGAAAGCGUGGGGAGCAAACA
This 427-nucleotide ribosomal RNA is filed under the name uncultured bacterium. Its description in RNAcentral is "partial 16S ribosomal RNA". It matches the Rfam family "Bacterial small subunit ribosomal RNA", at positions 355 to 774 of the family's 1533-position model. The record is from RNAcentral.